This 240-nucleotide unclassified non-coding RNA is filed under the name soil metagenome. RNAcentral's name for it is "partial contains 5.8S ribosomal RNA, internal transcribed spacer 2, and large subunit ribosomal RNA". The record is from RNAcentral.
AACGGUCUAUACCUGCGGUACCUGCGGAAGGAUCAUUACCGAGUUAUCAACUCCCAAACCCCUGUGAACAUACCCGAACGUUGCCUCGGCGGGACCGCCCCGGCGCCCCUAGCGGCCCGGAACCAGGCGCCCGCCGGAGGACCCAAACUCUUGCUUUAAACAGUGGCAUACUCUCUGAGUCUCACAAACAAAAAAUAAAUCAAAACUUUUAACAACGGAUCUCUAGAUCGGAAGAGCACA